RNAcentral lists this ribosomal RNA (253 nucleotides) under uncultured bacterium. Its description in RNAcentral is "partial 16S ribosomal RNA". It matches the Rfam family "Bacterial small subunit ribosomal RNA", at positions 524 to 776 of the family's 1533-position model. The record is from RNAcentral.
UACGUAGGGGGCAAGCGUUGUCCGGAUUUAUUGGGCGUAAAGAGCGUGUAGGCGGCCAGGUAGGUCGGUUGUGAAAACUGGAGGCUUAACCUCCAGACGUCGACCGAAACCAUCUGGCUAGAGUCCGGAAGAGGAGAGUGGAAUUCCUGGUGUAGCGGUGGAAUGCGUAGAGAUCCGGAAGAACACCGGUGGCGAAGGCGGCUCGCUGGGCAGUGGCUGACGCUGAUGCGCGACAGCGUGGGGAGCAAACAGG